UCCGUAGGCGGGCGAUUAAGUCAGAGGUGAAAUCCCACAGCUCAACUGUGGAACUGCCUUUGAUACUGGUUGUCUUGAGUUACAGUGAAGUAGAUAGAAUAUGUAGUGUAGCGGUGAAAUGCAUAGAUAUUACAUAGAAUACCGAUUGCGAAGGCAGUCUACUAACUGUUAACUGACGCUAAGGGACGAAAGCGUGGGGAGCGAACAGGAUUAGAUACUCUGGUAGUCC
This 229-nucleotide ribosomal RNA is filed under the name uncultured bacterium. RNAcentral describes it as "partial 16S ribosomal RNA". It matches the Rfam family "Bacterial small subunit ribosomal RNA", at positions 568 to 796 of the family's 1533-position model. The record is from RNAcentral.